GCUUCGAUGGCGCAGUGGUAGCGCAGUGGUCUCAUACUAUUCAUGAGGAGUCUGAAUUUUCAAACAUCCAAAUUGUAGAAAUGCCAUCCAAAGGUCGUGAGUUCGACCCUCACUCGGAGCA
Molecule: transfer RNA, 121 nt
Filed under: Ceratocystis platani
Lineage: Eukaryota; Fungi; Ascomycota; Sordariomycetes; Microascales; Ceratocystidaceae
Also listed under: 1 other name
Rfam family: tRNA
About the family: Transfer RNA (tRNA) molecules are approximately 80 nucleotides in length. Their secondary structure includes four short double-helical elements and three loops (D, anti-codon, and T loops). Further hydrogen bonds mediate the characteristic L-shaped molecular structure. tRNAs have two regions of fundamental functional importance: the anti-codon, which is responsible for specific mRNA codon recognition, and the 3' end, to which the tRNAs corresponding amino acid is attached (by aminoacyl-tRNA synthetases). tRNAs cope with the degeneracy of the genetic code in two manners: having more than one tRNA (with a specific anti-codon) for a particular amino acid; and 'wobble' base-pairing, i.e. permitting non-standard base-pairing at the 3rd anti-codon position.
Source: Rfam by way of RNAcentral